RNAcentral lists this unclassified non-coding RNA (236 nucleotides) under Hevea brasiliensis (rubber tree). Lineage: Eukaryota; Viridiplantae; Streptophyta; Magnoliopsida; Malpighiales; Euphorbiaceae. The record is from RNAcentral.
GGUUUUGGAAGUACAUACAAGUAAAAAAUAAGCACGGAAGUGCAAAGUUGAAAUAAAUGGCAGCAGAAGCAGCCAUAACAUCUCUAUAAAACCUUGUUAAUUUCUGUCAACAAUGUGCUUCCUUGACGAUCCUGAAGCUUUAGCAGAUGGUUUACGCAGACGAUUACUUCAUGGAUGGUGGUGGCGUCGUGCGAUGCCCUAUUGUUGGACUCAUCACUUCAGUGCUGCAAUGCUGC